ACCUGUUGCGGGCAGACGAGCAUGUGCCCGCAGCACCAGACAGAACACCGUGCCACGGGAACAAACGGGGCACUUCAGGGCGUU
Streptomyces sp. 13-12-16 is the source of this 84-nucleotide non-coding RNA. The record is from Rfam. Lineage: Bacteria; Bacillati; Actinomycetota; Actinomycetes; Kitasatosporales; Streptomycetaceae.